CCUACGGGAGGCAGCAGUGAGGAAUAUUGGUCAAUGGACGAGAGUCUGAACCAGCCAAGUAGCGUGAAGGAUGACUGCCCUAUGGGUUGUAAACUUCUUUUAUAUGGGAAUAAAAUGUUCCACGUGUGGGAUUUUGUAUGUACCAUAUGAAUAAGGAUCGGCUAACCCCGUGCCAGCAGCCGCGGUAAUACGGCGGAUCCGAGCGUUAUCCGGAUUUAUUGGGUUUAAAGGGAGCGUAGGUGGAUUGUUAAGUCAGUUGUGAAAGUUUGCGGCUCAACCGUAAAAUUGCAGUUGAAACUGGCAGUCUUGAGUACAGUAGAGGUGGGCGGAAUUCGUGGUGUAGCGGUGAAAUGCUUAGAUAUCACGAAGAACUCCGAUUGCGAAGGCAGUUCACUGGACUGCAACUGACACUGAGGCUCGAAAGUGUGGGUAUCAAACAGGAUUAGAUACCCCGGUAGUC
RNAcentral lists this ribosomal RNA (460 nucleotides) under uncultured bacterium. Its description in RNAcentral is "partial 16S ribosomal RNA". It matches the Rfam family "Bacterial small subunit ribosomal RNA", at positions 338 to 795 of the family's 1533-position model. The record is from RNAcentral.